GCCGAAAGGCAGACUAAUACCGCAUAGUCUUCGAUGACGGCAUCAGAUUUGAGUAAAGAUUUAUCGGUAAUGGAUGGGGAUGCGUCUGAUUAGCUUGUUGGCGGGGUAACGGCCCACCAAGGCGACGAUCAGUAGGGGUUCUGAGAGGAAGGUCCCCCACAUUGGAACUGAGACACGGUCCAAACUCCUACGGGAGGCAGCAGGA
RNAcentral lists this ribosomal RNA (205 nucleotides) under uncultured Prevotella sp. Its description in RNAcentral is "partial 16S ribosomal RNA". It matches the Rfam family "Bacterial small subunit ribosomal RNA", at positions 150 to 354 of the family's 1533-position model. Lineage: Bacteria; Pseudomonadati; Bacteroidota; Bacteroidia; Bacteroidales; Prevotellaceae. The record is from RNAcentral.